RNAcentral lists this long non-coding RNA (2191 nucleotides) under Homo sapiens (human). RNAcentral describes it as "HSALNT0058755". Lineage: Eukaryota; Metazoa; Chordata; Mammalia; Primates; Hominidae. The record is from RNAcentral.
UACUCGGGAGGCUGAGGCAGGAGAAUGACGUGAACCCAGGAGGCCAAGCUUGCAGUGAGCUGAGAUCACACCACUGCACUCCAGCCUGGGGGACAGAGUGAGAAUCCAUCAAAAAAAAGAAACAAGAAUACAAUAGCACAAUUCAUGUGACAACCACAUGUAGGUUUAGUGAUGUUUGUUCUCUGUGAAGCUAAGCUAUCUCAGCUAGGUGGUUGAGGACAUUUGUACUGUCUGGACUAGGCAGAGGUGAAUAUGAUUGAAUGUGUAAGACAGUGCCAAUUAUGUACCAUAUAUAGCUGUGUGUGUUUCCUUCUGUCUAAAAUAUCAACCUAUGCUUGCCUUUAAUCUCAUCCUCAAUUGCAAUGCUCAAAACCCCUCCUAGUGUCAUUAUAUUGUCAAAAAAUACUCUGAAUCACAGGUUUAGAGAGAUAAAAAUUCUAACUUCUCUUAAAGAAACAACGUCUGAAAAUCUUUUCAUUUGUGUUGUUCCACAUGAAAUGACUUUAAGUGUUGAAUGUGCACAUUAUUCCUACAUUCUGAGACUUAGAUUUAUAGCUUAUGAGUUGUCCUUCUAAAGGUAUACUCUUCAUAUGCCAGUGACUCCCCAGCUUAUACAGCAGUUAUGCCUUAUUGGUGAGGGAUGCGUUCAAAGACUCCUUGUGGAUGCCUGAAACCUGUUACCAAACCCCAUAUAUCUCUAGUGCACAUCUAAAUCUGUGUUUAGACGAACAGAACCAGCUUUGUACCCGAUUAUCUUCACCAAGAUGUCUGACUUACGUAAAUCUCAAACUUGUCGUAUUUAACACAAAGUUCUUAAUUUCCUUCCUUUUUCAAGCCCACUUCUGCUGUGUUUUCUGUUUAAGUAAAUAACACUCAUCCAUUUAGUUAUGUCAAAAACCUAGGAAUUAUCCAUGACUUCUCUCUUACUCUUUCUGCACUUUAAAUGCAUCAGCUAGUACUGUCUUCAAGAAUGUAUCCUUUUUACCCAGUCCUCGCCAUCUCCUUUACUAUCCCCCUUGCCCAAGCCACUAUACUUUCAUCCUGCUGUGGAAGCAGUUUUCCAACCCUCCUUACUCUCCUUUUGACCACUUAAUAUACAUUCUUCACUAGCCAGAACAAUCUUUGAAAAAUGUAACCUACCAUAUGUCACUCCCCAUUUGAAAUGUUCCUAUUGGGAUUUUAAGAUGAUAUUAAAUACUCAUUUUCUCAGCUCUCAAGUCUGGAUUCAAUUGAGAGGCAGACAGAUUUGGGCAAAUGAGAUAAAAUAUUUGUUUUGUAUUGAUAAAUGGUUGGAUUGGCAGAUAUUGCCUUGUAUUGAGUAUGGUCGUAAAGACAUCACUAAUAUUUAACUUAUCUACCUAUUUAUUUUCCCUCACUUUGAAGUGUGGUUAGAAUUUGGAGGAAGCAAUUUCAUGAAGGUAGAAAUAAGAUUGCCCUCAUAAAAUAUGUUAUGUCCUCAUAAAAUAAAUAUUUAUAUAUUAUAUAUAAAAUAUAUAAAUUUAUUAUCUGAUCCUUCCCAAGAGAGAUUCCGCACCUCUGGUUGCCCUUAGGCUUAAUCAUUAAGCCAGAACCAUAAAGAGAACAAAAAACAUUACCUGUGCCCAACGUUUUAUGGCCUUUGUCACUCCUCAAGUAGUCUCUCCAAAGGAGGAAUGUCUGACGUGGUAAGUAAGUUUGAGAGGAAACUGGAUUUUGUUGGAUCCACCCCUUCUGAAGUCUCUUGUUGUCUUCCUCCCUCAAGAGAUGUCUGCCCUAUUUUCCACUUGUUUGGAAACUAUCUCCCCUGUCUGGUGUCCUUGCAGCUGUGCAUCUGUCAGUCUGUGCUGACUUCACAACUUUCUACAAAUGAGCUUUCCUAGUAACUCAGGACCUACCUGUCAGGCCUCUGAGCCCAAGCCAAGCCAUCGCAUCCCCUGUGACUUGCACGUAUACGCCCAGAUGGCCUGAAGUAACUGAAGAAUCACAAAAGAAGUGAAAAGGCCCUGCCCCGCCUUAACUGAUGACAUUCCACCAUUGUGAUUUGUUCCUGCCCCAUCUUAACUGAGUGAUUAACCCUGUGAAUUUCCUUCUCCUGGCUCAGAAGCUCCCCCACUGAGCACCUUGUGACCCCCCGCCCCUGCCCACCAGAGAACAACUCCCUUUGACUGUAAUUUUCCAUUACCUUCCUAAAUCCUAUAAAAUGGCCCCACCC